AGCGACAUGAUAAUAAGGUAUUUACUGUCAUAACAAUCGAUAGACAAUUGAUGACGAUUAUCACUGAUGAAUUUGCAUUCCAGGUGGUGAACAGGAUGAAGAGGGAACAGGUACUCUCCACAAUUCAUGAAGUAGUGGUGCCCCAUCAGGAGAACAAAGAUCUGUCAUUUUUAUACUGGGCCUAGAAGGAGGAAAUUUUUGAAGAAAUGGAAAUAUGAUGGACGAUUAAAUCGUGAUGAAGCACGGGGAAGGCCCAGUUAAUGUUCUACAUCUACCCUGUAGAUCCGAAUUUGUUUGAAAAGAGGCGACAAAUUCGGUUCUAGAGAGGUUUGUGUGGUGCAUACAGAGCUACAAUGGUCUUUAAAAAAAUAUAUCAUGUGCUCAUGAAUUAUUUUUUAAUAAUAACAAAUUCCAGUCGACUAGAUUACAGUCGAUAAAAUAGAAUUCUGUAGGCCAGAUAACAUGUGAUUGUCCUUAUCGAAGAUGUAAUUAAUUAUUGGAGGCUAUCCGAUUUUUUUGCGAAUGCUAACUCGUCAUUUCCAUUUAUUUACAUAAAGAUUAAUAAAAAUUAUGAAAAUAUAUCCAGACACCUUCUCCCGUCACAACUGCAUUUCAUUGAAUAGAAAUACAAACAAUAUAUUUUAA
This is a long non-coding RNA of Fopius arisanus, 645 nucleotides long. RefSeq lists it as uncharacterized. The record is from RefSeq and is a predicted model, not a curated record. NCBI's taxonomy places the organism in Eukaryota, Metazoa, Arthropoda, Insecta, Hymenoptera, Braconidae. The transcript has 2 exons.